Caenorhabditis elegans is the source of this 142-nucleotide non-coding RNA. Lineage: Eukaryota; Metazoa; Nematoda; Chromadorea; Rhabditida; Rhabditidae. The record is from Ensembl.
AUACCGGAUUUUCGGCCUUCCGCAAACACUGCUACGACAAUUUACACACUCUUUCGGAGACCCCCCUCACUGUCCUCCUCCCCCAUCAUCUUUUCUCGGGCCUCGUGCGUUCUGAGGUCAAUAUGUCGCCAUGUCUGAGUCU